UACGUAGGGGGCAAGCGUUGUCCGGAAUCAUUGGGCGUAAAGAGCGUGUAGGCGGCCCGAUAAGUCCGCUGUGAAAGUCCAGGGCUCAACCCUGGAAUGCCGGUGGAUACUGUCGGGCUCGAAUCCGGAAGAGGUGAGUGGAAUUCCUGGUGUAGCGGUGGAAUGCGCAGAUAUCAGGAGGAACACCAACGGCGAAGGCAGCUCGCUGGGACGGUACUGACACUGAGGCGCGAAAGCGUGGGGAGCGAACAGG
Molecule: ribosomal RNA, 253 nt
Filed under: uncultured bacterium
Lineage: Bacteria
Description: partial 16S ribosomal RNA
Rfam family: Bacterial small subunit ribosomal RNA
Source: RNAcentral